Molecule: ribosomal RNA, 22 nt
Filed under: Trichoderma sp. CB-R-14
Lineage: Eukaryota; Fungi; Ascomycota; Sordariomycetes; Hypocreales; Hypocreaceae
Description: partial 18S ribosomal RNA
Source: RNAcentral
AACUGUUGCCUCGGCGGGGUCA